UGGGAACCCCUGGACCGCUGGGGCUGGACCCCGGCAGUUCUGUUUUUAUUAUGUAUGUAAUUUCAUGCUCAGGCUCAAGCCCAGCUCCUAUAUAGUAGUCUAUUUGGAGGUCACUUAUAUUGGAAGCUCAUGUAUUUGAUUCUAACUUGGAAAGCAUGCUGAACUCUGGCUGCCUUUAAUUUGCAUCCUCUUUCCCCACACCUUCCAAAUUUUACACAAAAACUCACCAGGCACAUGAGGGACCCAAUACUAAAUACAUACCAUUGUAGGUGCCCUUCCCAGGCCUUUCAUUGACAGUGUUGACCAGCACCAAAGUCCUGAGGCCUGGAAGAGCAGCAGCUUGUUGUUUCAGGAACUGGUGUCUUUUGAGGAUGUGGCCGUGUACUUCACUGCGGAGGAAUGGGCCAGCCUGGGACCUGCUCAGAGGGCCCUGUACAGGGAUGUGAUGCUAGAGAACUACGCGGCUGUGGCCUUGCUAGCAUCACCCAGUUUCAAACCAGCUCUGAUCUCUCAGCUGGAACACGGGAAAGAGCCGUGUUUCAUCGAGCUACAAGGCCAGAGUUGGAAAGCAGACCUUGCAGGAUACAGCGCAAAAUUAAGAAGAUGUGUCCUCUUAGCUAAAAUGAUGUCACAUGCCAUAAAAUUGAAACUUCUUCAGAAUCAUCUCUUCGGGGAAGACAGGACAAAGGCUUAAUUCCUUACGUUUAAAUACCACUUUUCAGAGUAAUGAGUUGAUUUAAGAGCCAUCUUAAAUGAUGCAAGUAUGCAUUUUCUUCUUCUGCUGACACAUGCAUUUCCUAGAUUUAAUGUUUUUCAUUCAUUAAAAUUGUUCAUGUU
Molecule: RNA transcript, 837 nt
Organism: Myotis davidii
Lineage: Eukaryota; Metazoa; Chordata; Mammalia; Chiroptera; Vespertilionidae
Gene: KRABD1
Gene name: KRAB box domain containing 1
Exons: 3
Source: RefSeq, a predicted model, not a curated record